GAUGAAGAACGCAGCGAAAUGCGAUAAGUAGUGUGAAUUGCAGAAUUCAGUGAAUCAUCGAAUCUUUGAACGCACAUUGCGCCCCAUGGUAUUCCGUGGGGCAUGCCUGUUCGAGCGUCAUUUACCCCCUCAAGCUCCGCUUGGUGUUGGGCGUCUGUCCCGCUUCGCGCGCGGACUCGCCCCAAAGGUAUUGGCAGCGGUCGUGCCAGCUUCUCGCGCAGCACAUUGCGCUUCUCGAGGCACCGGUGGGCCCGCGUCCAUCAAGUUCACCCCCCCAGUUUGACCUCGGAUCAGGUAGGGAUACCCGCUGAACUUAAGCAUAUCAAUAAGCGGAGGA
Molecule: unclassified non-coding RNA, 337 nt
Filed under: soil metagenome
Description: partial contains 5.8S ribosomal RNA, internal transcribed spacer 2, and large subunit ribosomal RNA
Rfam family: 5.8S ribosomal RNA (bases 1-120)
Source: RNAcentral